CCUACGGGUUGCACCAGUGGGGAAUAUUGCACAAUGGGCGCAAGCCUGAUGCAGCCAUGCCGCGUGUGUGAAGAAGGCCUUCGGGUUGUAAAGCACUUUCAGCGGGGAGGAAGGCGGUGAGGUUAAUAACCGCAGCAAUUGACGUUACCCGCAGAAGAAGCACCGGCUAACUCCGUGCCAGCAGCCGCGGUAAUACGGAGGGUGCAAGCGUUAAUCGGAAUUACUGGGCGUAAAGCGCACGCAGGCGGUCUGUCAAGUCGGAUGUGAAAUCCCCGGGCUCAACCUGGGAACUGCAUUCGAAACUGGCAGGCUAGAGUCUUGUAGAGGGGGGUAGAAUUCCAGGUGUAGCGGUGAAAUGCGUAGAGAUCUGGAGGAAUACCGGUGGCGAAGGCGGCCCCCUGGACAAAGACUGACGCUCAGGUGCGAAAGCGUGGGGAGCAAACAGGAUUAGAUACCCCCGUAGUC
RNAcentral lists this ribosomal RNA (465 nucleotides) under uncultured bacterium. Its description in RNAcentral is "bacterial SSU rRNA". It matches the Rfam family "Bacterial small subunit ribosomal RNA", at positions 338 to 795 of the family's 1533-position model. The record is from RNAcentral.